This 492-nucleotide ribosomal RNA is filed under the name uncultured bacterium. RNAcentral describes it as "partial 16S ribosomal RNA". It matches the Rfam family "Bacterial small subunit ribosomal RNA", at positions 29 to 507 of the family's 1533-position model. The record is from RNAcentral.
AGUGAACGCUGGCGGUAGGCCUAACACAUGCAAGUCGAACGGCAGCACAGUAAGAGCUUGCUCUUACGGGUGGCGAGUGGCGGACGGGUGAGGAAUACAUCGCAAUCUACUUUUUCGUGGGGGAUAACGUAGGGAAACUUACGCUAAUACCGCAUACGACCUACGGGUGAAAGCAGGGGAUCUUCGGACCUUGCCCGAUUGAAUGAGCCGAUGUCGGAUUAGCUAGUUGGCGGGGUAAAGGCCCACCAAGGCGACGAUCCGUAGCUGGUCUGAGAGGAUGAUCAGCCACACUGGAACUGAGACACGGUCCAGACUCCUACGGGAGGCAGCAGUGGGGAAUAUUGGACAAUGGGCGAAAGCCUGAUGCAGCCAUACCGCGUGGGUGAAGAAGGCCUUCGGGUUGUAAAGCCCUUUUGUUGGGAAAGAAAAGCAGCAGGUUAAUACCCCGCUGUUCUGACGGUACCCAAAGAAUAAGCACCGGCUAACUUCGUG